Molecule: non-coding RNA, 204 nt
Organism: Pelobates cultripes (western spadefoot toad)
Lineage: Eukaryota; Metazoa; Chordata; Amphibia; Anura; Pelobatidae
Source: the annotation of a GenBank genome assembly
ACAACAUUUGGCGUGCCGAAGGUUGCCUAUCUCUGUCCUAGACCGAAACAGGUCUCCCCCACAGUUUGCAAUAAAAAGUUUUACUUUUUUCCCCCAGUGCUGAGGUUCCCGCGAUAUAAGGCCUCCUCUGCCAAUGUCCAUUUCAAUGCUCAUAGAAUGAAUACUUUCCUACUGGGCAUCUGUAUCAUGUAACUUAGUUUUACU